ACUUAGUUUAAUUAAAAUAAUUGCUUGUCAAGUAAUUGUAGCCUUGGGCAGUA
This 53-nucleotide transfer RNA is filed under the name Laeocathaica amdoana. Its description in RNAcentral is "tRNA-Asp". The record is from RNAcentral. Lineage: Eukaryota; Metazoa; Mollusca; Gastropoda; Stylommatophora; Camaenidae.